UACAGAGGUCUCAAGCGUUGUUCGGAUUCAUUGGGCGUAAAGGGUGCGUAGGCGGCGCGGUAAGUCGGGUGUGAAAUCUCGGGGCUUAACUCCGAAACUGCAUUCGAUACUGCCGUGCUUGAGGACUGGAGAGGAGACUGGAAUUUACGGUGUAGCGGUGAAAUGCGUAGAUAUCGUAAGGAAGACCAGUGGCGAAGGCGGGUCUCUGGACAGUUCCUGACGCUGAGGCACGAAGGCCAGGGGGAGCAAAACGGGAAAUUUAGAAA
This 266-nucleotide ribosomal RNA is filed under the name uncultured bacterium. Its description in RNAcentral is "partial 16S ribosomal RNA". It matches the Rfam family "Bacterial small subunit ribosomal RNA", at positions 524 to 784 of the family's 1533-position model. The record is from RNAcentral.